UAGGGAAUCUUCCACAAUGGACGCAAGUCUGAUGGAGCAACGCCGCGUGAGUGAAGAAGGUUUUCGGACCGUAAAGCUCUGUUGUUGGUGAAGAAGGAUAGAGGUAGUAACUGGCCUUUAUUUGACGGUAAUCAACCAGAAAGUCACGGCUAACUACGUGCCAGCAGCCGCGGUAAUACGUAGGUGGCAAGCGUUGUCCGGAUUUAUUGGGCGUAAAGCGAGCGCAGGCGGAAGAAUAAGUCUGAUGUGAAAGCCCUCGGCUUAACCGAGGAAUUGCAUCGGAAACUGUUUUCUUGAGUGCAGAAGAGGAGAGUAGAACUCCAUGUGUAGCGGUGGAAUGCGUAGAUAUAUGGAAGAAUACCAGUGGCGAAGGCGGCUCUCUGGUCUGCAACUGACGCUGAGGCUCGAAAGCAUGGGUAGCGAACAGGAUUAGAUACCCCGGUAGUCCAUGCCGUAAACGAUGAGUGCUAAGUGUUGGGAGGCUUCCGCCUCUCAGUGCUGCAGCUAACGCAUUAAGCACUCCGCCUGGGGGAGUACGACCGCAAGGUUGAAAC
This 554-nucleotide ribosomal RNA is filed under the name uncultured bacterium. RNAcentral describes it as "partial 16S ribosomal RNA". It matches the Rfam family "Bacterial small subunit ribosomal RNA", at positions 355 to 900 of the family's 1533-position model. The record is from RNAcentral.